RNAcentral lists this ribosomal RNA (260 nucleotides) under Vibrio cyclitrophicus. RNAcentral's name for it is "partial 23S ribosomal RNA". It matches the Rfam family "Bacterial large subunit ribosomal RNA", at positions 2689 to 2925 of the family's 2925-position model. Lineage: Bacteria; Pseudomonadati; Pseudomonadota; Gammaproteobacteria; Vibrionales; Vibrionaceae. The record is from RNAcentral.
GGACCGGAGUGGACGAACCUCUGGUGUUCGGGUUGUCAUGCCAAUGGCAUUGCCCGGUAGCUAAGUUCGGAAUCGAUAACCGCUGAAAGCAUCUAAGCGGGAAGCGAGCCUUGAGAUGAGUUUUCCCUGGCACUAUAAGUGUCCUAAAGGGUUGUCGUAGACUACGACGUUGAUAGGCAGGGUGUGUAAGUGCUGCGAGGCAUUGAGCUAACCUGUACUAAUUGCCCGUGAGGCUUAACCAUACAACACCCAAGGGGUUU